Long non-coding RNA from Pangasianodon hypophthalmus (striped catfish), 1503 nucleotides. RefSeq lists it as uncharacterized. NCBI's taxonomy places the organism in Eukaryota, Metazoa, Chordata, Actinopteri, Siluriformes, Pangasiidae. The record is from RefSeq and is a predicted model, not a curated record. The transcript has 4 exons.
AUGAAAAACUCUCUGCUAGAAAUAAAGAGACGUGUUUGUUCAGAGUGGCCUCUCUGUUAUUAUCUUGUUUCAGAAAGUUAAAUACAUCGUCUCAUAUGAGCUGAGACACAUGGAUCUGUCCAAGAGCAGUCCAAGUUUAUACACAGGCUGUUCAUUUUAUAUUUUUAUCCUGACAUUAGAACCUUGUUUUCAGGUAGACAGUUUGUUUCCCAACUGAUGGAAACACUUCAUUUCACAAUCAGAUAAAUAAAUCAAACAUUUCAUCAUUUCUCUUCCAGGCUGUGUGAGUGUAAUCUGAGAGAGGAAAGCUGUAGAGUUCUGUCCUCAGUUCUCAGCUCAAACUCUUCCAGUCUGAGAGAACUGGACCUGAGUGGAAAUAAACUGCAGGAUUCAGGAGUGAAGCUGCUCUCUGCUGGACUGGAGAAUCCACACUGUACACUGGAGAUACUGAGCCUGCGUUUGUGUGAUCUGACAGAGGAAAGCUGUAGAGUUCUGCCCUCAGUUCUCAGCUCAAACUCCUCCAGUCUGAGAGAACUGAACCUGAGUGACAAUAACCUGCGGGAUUCAGGAGUGAAGCUGCUCUCUGCUGGACUGGAGAAUCCACACUGUACACUGGAGACACUGAGGAUGCGUUACUGCAGUAUUACAGAUGAAGGUUGUGCUGCUUUGGCUUCAGCUCUGAGGUCAAACUCCUCAUCACACCUGAGAGAACUGGAUCUAAAUGGUAAUAAUCCAGGAGAAUCAGGAGUGAAGCUGCUCUCUGAUCUACUGAAGGAUCCACACUGUAAACUGGAGACACUACACAUUAAGAAUGAUAAAUUCACCAGGACUGGCGUAUGACAGAAGUCUCACCUCAAACCUCUUUUCCAGGAUAAAGCAGUUUUGGUGAAGCGUUAAAACCCGUCCCACAUUUCCAGCAGUUUGGGAGCUAAAUCAUUCAUAUUCAGAUGUAGAAGUUCCAUAACAAUAACCGGGACUGAUCACAUCCUUUUAUCCACUCAGCUACAAGUUACUUCAAGCUUUAAUAACAUAUUUUACAAUCCAAAGUCAAAUCCUUCAGCGUCUACACACAACACAGAGAUAUCAUCACAUCAUCACACUAAUUACACAAAUACACAUCCAUGUGUUAUAGCUGUUUAUAGCUUAUUUUUAGCUCCUUAUUUUUAUCUAUUUAUUCAGUGUGUUUCUGCUCAACUUGUAUUCGUUCAGUUUGUUGUAACGUGACAGAUUAUUGAUGCACAGUUGUAAUACUGAUUUACUCCUUUUUUUAUUAAAAAAAUUUGUUUGUUGUUUGGUAAUUUGUUUUAAUUGUAACCAUGGUAGUUUGACGAGUUAAGAUUUUUCGAUUUUUAAACUAAAAAAAUGUAUAUGCACUAUAUGCACUAUAUGCACUUUAUACACUUUAACUAUAUGCACUGUACGUAUUCCUGUCAUUUGACACACCUUUGUAUAUAUGUUGUGUGUAUGUGAUUUAUGCUAUGUGUAGUACAAAAUAAACAGUGA